GUCUGGUGCCAUAUCACCCUGAAUGUGCCCAAUCUUGUCUGAUCUCAGAAACUAAGCCUGGUUAAUACUUGGAUGGGAGACACAUCUUCAGAAGAGACUGCUCAGAGA
RNAcentral lists this ribosomal RNA (108 nucleotides) under Castor canadensis (American beaver). The record is from RNAcentral. Lineage: Eukaryota; Metazoa; Chordata; Mammalia; Rodentia; Castoridae.